UUUUUUUUUUUUUGAGACACAGUCUUGCUCUGUUGCCCAGGCAGGAGUGCAGUGGCAGGAUCAUGGCUCGCUGCAGCCUCAAACUCCCAGGCUCAGGUGAUUCUCCUACCUCAGCCUCCCAAGUAGCUGGAACUACAGGCGCACCCACCACAUCCAGCUAACUUUUGUAUUUUUGUAGAGAUGGGGUCUUGUCAUGUUGCCCAGGCUGGUCUCAAAUUCCUGGGCUCAAGUGAUCCACCCGCCUUGGCUUUCCAAAGUGCUGAACUUACGUGCAUGAGCCACUGCGCUGGCCCAAGGCCUCAACUUUGAGGCUUCUAGAUUGGGGUGGAACAAGGGAGGGAUGAGAAUGUUGUGAAAGUACCAAGGAACAGUGGAGCUGCUGGCUGAAACUAGGAACAUGAGCAAAGGAGCGAGUGAGGGGCAGGGGAGGUGGUGAGAAUGAGCUUGGCAUUGGCCUUGAUUUUCAGGGGGUCUCUGCUGAGGUCUGUCCCAGUGCUGAUCUUCUCAAUGUCCCUGGAAGGAAGGAACAUCUCACUGUGGCCCCUCCACCCCCACAUAUUCUGGGCAGGAAGGAGCAGGAUCUGUUUUGUCAACGCAGCUUGCAAUAAAGACUCUCAUUCAGAGAGGCAAACAGCUGCUUGACUAUUAAUAGGCAGGGCGGCAGCCACAGCCUGCUGGGAGGGCCUCUGCAUGCAGUUCUGGAAAGGUGAAUCGGUUCCUUCUGCCUGUCUGGGUUUUGCACCCCGUGGUGGGACAAUUGGCCAGGUGCAUAUUCCUCAGAAGGUCAGUCACCCCCAGUUGUUUCCUGGGGCAGCUUGGGAGCUGUGUGGCCUGGCCCUGCUGGGAUGCUGACCCUCCCCCAGGCAGAGGGAGCGGGGGCCCAGAUGCCCCAGAGCUGACCAGAGCAGUAGGCAUCCAGGGUGACUGGGGUUGGGGGUGAUGUUUGGGUGGGAUCUCAUGGCUGCUUCUGUGGAAGAUCAGGCACCCACCCUUAAGGGGAUCAUGAAGAGAUCAGGGUUGGGUGGCUGGAAGGGAAGGGAGUCAGUCUAGAAACAAGAGGACUGAUGAGAGGAGCUGGGGAUAGAGAGGGUAGAAGUAGAGCCUGGGAUCAGGGAGAACCAUGAAGCAUCCCUGAUCAGGAGCCAGACCAGGCCGAGGGGAGCGUGGGAGUCCAGACAUGAGAGGGUGAGGCCUAAAGAAGGCCACAGUCUGCUUCCGGCCACCGCCAUCAUGACGCAUGACCUCAUUGUGGCCUGGCCAGCCAGAUCGCCCAUCUGAAUGGGCCUGCAGAGAGGGUGGCUGGGAGUGAGCUAACAGCAACCCAACAGGCGUCCUGGGCUCCACCGAGGCCAAGUCUUGCUGUGUUAGAGGCCCCGUGGCUGCAGCCCAAGCGGGCGCAGGGCUCACAGGCCCUCGUUGUUACCCGCCAUUCAGGUGGUUGCUUC
RNAcentral lists this long non-coding RNA (1445 nucleotides) under Macaca fascicularis (crab-eating macaque). Its description in RNAcentral is "lncRNA (ENSMFAG00000065100.1)". The record is from RNAcentral. Lineage: Eukaryota; Metazoa; Chordata; Mammalia; Primates; Cercopithecidae.